Molecule: long non-coding RNA, 1359 nt
Organism: Bos taurus (domestic cattle)
Lineage: Eukaryota; Metazoa; Chordata; Mammalia; Artiodactyla; Bovidae
Source: Ensembl
GCUGUGUGUCUGUGUGAAGUGUGUGUAUUGUGUUUCUGUGUGUGAGGUGUAUGGUGUGUAUGGUGUGUGCUGUGUCCGUAUGUGAGGUGUGUGUAUUGUGUGUCUGUGUGUGUGCUGUGCACUGUGUUUCUUUGUGUGAGGUGUGUGAUGUGUGUGGUGAGUGCUGGUGUAUGUGUGUAUGAGGUGUAUGUAUUAUGUGUCUGUAUGUGAGGUGUGUAUAUUGUGUGUCCAGGUGUGUGGUGUGUGCUGUGUGUCUGUGUGUGAGGUGUGUGGUGUGUGUGUUGUGUGCUGUGUGUCUGUGUGUGAGGUGUGUGGUGUGUGUGUUGUGUGCUGGGUGUCUGUGUGUGAGGUGUGUGGUGUGUGUGGUGUGUGCUGGGUGUCUGUAUGCGAGGUGUGUGUAUUGUGUGUCUGUGUGUGGGGUGUGGGGUGUGUGUCCAUGUGUAAGGUGUGUGUAUUGUGUGUCUGUGUGUGUGCUGUGUAUUGUGUUUCUGUGUGUGAGGCGUAUGUGUUGUGUGUCCAUGUAUGUGGUGUAUGGUGUAUGUCUGUGUGUGGUGUGUGCUGUGUGUCUUGUGAGGUGUGUGUAUUGUGUGUCUGUGUGUGGUGUGUGUCUGUAUGUGAGGUGUGUGUGCUUGUGUCUGUGUGUGUCUGUGUGUGAAAUGUGUGUAUUGUGUGUCCAUGUGUGUGGUGCGUGGUGUGUGUCUGUGUGUUGUCUGUAUGUGAGGUGCGUGUGUUGUGUGUCUGUAUGUGACGUGUCUGUUGUGUGUCUGUAUGUGAUGUGUGUGUGUUUUGUGUCUGUGUGUGUUGUGUGUCUGUAUGGUGUGUGGCUGUGGUGUGUGUGUGUCUGUGUGUGAGGUGUGUGUGUGUUAUGUGUCUGUAUGUGUAUUGUGUCUAUGUGUGGUAUGUAUUGUGUGUCUGUGUGUGUGUGUGUCUGUAUGUGAGGUGUGUGUGUUGUGUGUCUGUGGUGUAUGUGUAUCUGUGUGUGUUGUCUGUGUGUGAGGUGUGUGUGUUGUGUGUCUGUGUGGUGUGUGUGUGUGAGGUGUGUCUGUUGUGUGUCUGUGGUGUAUGUGUAUCUGUGUGUGUGUCUAUGUGUGAGGUGUAUGUGUUGUGUGUCUGUGUGGUGUGUGUGUCUGUGUGUGAGGUGUGUCUGUAUAUGAGGUGUGUGUGUUGUGUGUCUGGGGUGUAUGUGUGUCUGUGUGUGCUGUCUGUAUGUGAGGUGCGUGUGUUGUGUGUCUGUAUGUGACAUGUGUGUGUUUUGUGUCUGUGUGUGUUGUGUGUCUGUAUGGUGUGUGGCUGUGGUGUAUGUGUGUCUGUGUGUGAGGUGUGUGUGUUGUGUGUCUGUGGUGUAUGUGUGUCUGUGUG